UCACUGUUGUAUUACUUUUGUAUAUAAAUAAAGACAAGUGCAAGAACAGAGCGCGCAUCACAGGGCCCCCACUCUGGUGUGAGCGUUCUGUGACCACCCUUGUAUACAAGUGAAAAACACAGCGUCUGUGUGUGUUUCUACCCUUAGACUCUUAGCUGAAGAAGUGUCUUUAGAAUAAAUCUCUUGACAUUUAUUUUGGUCCUUCGAGCCGGAUCAGAAAUAUCAGAACUGUUAUCUGUGACUCUGUUCCAGGAUCUGGCAUACUGUUUCCUGACGCCGUGGAUCCAGCACCGAAGAGGGCUGCUUUGCCGGUCCUGAAAGCCAAAGCUGACCUGGACUCCUGCUCUCCCUCUACCAUCUCUGACCUUGACCCUGACCAAAUGCUGCAGCAGCUGGACCCAUAACAACAAUCUAAAAUGUCAACAGUGCUACAGGAAAGCGAUCUCAUGCAGCAGAGACGGAGAGCGUUAAAUCCAAG
Long non-coding RNA from Oreochromis aureus, 478 nucleotides. The record is from Ensembl. NCBI's taxonomy places the organism in Eukaryota, Metazoa, Chordata, Actinopteri, Cichliformes, Cichlidae.